CGAGAAUCUUCGGCAAUGGGCGCAAGCCUGACCGAGCGACGCCGCGUGGAGGACGAAGGCCUUCGGGUUGUAAACUCCUGUCGAGGGGAAGGAAGGGGCCGCGAGGCCCUUGACCGCUCCCUGGAGGAAGCACGGGCUAAGUUCGUGCCAGCAGCCGCGGUAAGACGAACCGUGCGAACGUUAUUCGGAAUCACUGGGCUUAAAGCGCGUGUAGGCGGGAGGGUGCGUCGGCCGCUGAAAUCCCCCGGCUCAACCGGGGAAGGGGCGCCGAUACGACCCCCCUGGAGCGACGUAGGGGGAACUGGAACUUCCGGUGGAGCGGUGAAAUGCAUUGAGAUCGGAAGGAACGCCCGUGGCGAAAGCGAGUUCCUGGACGUCGGCUGACGCUGAGACGCGAAAGCCAGGGGAGCGAAC
RNAcentral lists this ribosomal RNA (414 nucleotides) under uncultured bacterium. RNAcentral's name for it is "bacterial SSU rRNA". It matches the Rfam family "Bacterial small subunit ribosomal RNA", at positions 356 to 773 of the family's 1533-position model. The record is from RNAcentral.